Molecule: ribosomal RNA, 274 nt
Filed under: uncultured bacterium
Lineage: Bacteria
Description: partial 16S ribosomal RNA
Rfam family: Bacterial small subunit ribosomal RNA
Source: RNAcentral
AUACGGAGGGUGCAAGCGUUAUCCGGAAUCACUGGGCGUAAAGGACGCGUAGGCGGGUUGGCAAGUCAGAUGUGAAAUCCUACAGCUUAACUGCAGAACUGCAUUUGAAACUGCUAACCUAGAGUAUGGGAGGGGGAGAUGGAAUUAGUGGUGUAGGGGUAAAAUCCGUAGAUAUCACUAGGAAUACCGAAAGCGAAGGCGAUCUCCUGGAACAUAACUGACGCUAAGGCGUGAAAGCGUGGGGAGCAAACAGGAUUAGAAACCCUAGUAGUCC